Molecule: long non-coding RNA, 1408 nt
Filed under: Prunus dulcis (almond)
Lineage: Eukaryota; Viridiplantae; Streptophyta; Magnoliopsida; Rosales; Rosaceae
Description: sRNA ncRNA
Source: RNAcentral
AAUGCUUCCCCUGCGUUUUCCAGGGCCGAACUAGGAGGCUUGUCGCCUUUCUUUCAAGUCUCCAAAGAUGAUCUUGGGGCUUGCCAGCUUUCUCUCGGUCUAGACGCGAGGGUAAUUAUUAUAGGACAGCUUCUGAUUCUUCUUUUCUCAUUAACAUAUCUGGUCUCUUCAUUCUUCCAUGUCAGGCCACCUGUGAGCCUUGGAUAACUGUUUUGCUGAAGGAUGUAAGACAAGAAUCUUGUGGCUGACACAGGAUGACCUGAGAUGUGGAUGCUUUAAAGGUUUUAUUUCAAACCUUUGCCUCAGCACAUCCGCAUAUAACUUAUUUGACUUGCUGAUAUCUUUCUUAUUCUCCAUCUGCUUGAAAUUUAUCAUGUGAACGCAGUUGCAUUUCGUGACAUUCUUCAUUUAUAUGGUUUACUGCUGUUUAUUUUUGGUUGUGUGUUAUGUCUCUUUUUCAUUUAGGCGGGGAAGGUUAUAAGUUUAUGAAGCCUAGUCAAGGGUCUUUCAAUUUUAAAAGUAAAGUUCAAAAUAUUGUAAUUUUCCAUAAGCAUGGGCAGUCAAUCUAUUUUCAAGCUUAAAGUUUCCAUCAAACAGGUAAACAUUGUUAAUUAAGAUGUGCGAUAUUGUCCAGAAGUUUUGUAUUGGGAGUGGUUUCAAACUCUAAUCUCUAAUCUGCAAACCAGGAAUGAAUUUGUCAACUCUCUGGGUGUAAGCAGUAAGAAGAUAUCAAUGUCCUGAUUAUAGGCCUCUGGACUGCCCUACAGCUCUUGAAUUCUUUGUGAUGAUUGCAGUAUUUAUAGCAUAUCACAAACUUUUUGCUUGCUCCUGGUUGACACAGAUUGUCAGCCAUAUUCUUUUACUGCAAGUUUUGAACUGAGGUAGGCAGGAGAGGGCUAUACUGAACACAGAACACUGAAGGAAACAUUACUCAUUUCUCCGUUAAUACAACAUUAAACUCUCACUGAUCUCAAAUUAGUUUGUUUUUGUCCUUAUUAAUUUUCCAUGGAAAAAUAGUACUGGAUUUGGAUGUCCUUUAGGUGGAAAUAUUAUUUGUUUCUGUCCAUCCUUGCAAGUCGUUUCAUUUCUCUAUCUCACUUGUGUUUGUGAGGCUUCAAAUUUUUAUCUAAGCAGGCCUGAGUUCGAUUUUUUGUUUAUGGUUCCUGCAGCAGAUGCUUUGUACGUGAAAUAUAUAUUAGCUUGGUUUGAAUACCAUAAAGCUGUGACUGGUGUCCACCGCCCAUCAAAUUUUUGAAUUUGAUGCAAUUAUUCCAAGGAUCUUGAGCAUGUGAUGAUGACAUCAUAUCCCUUGGAGUUGCUCUUAGCAACUCAAAAUGAUUCUGCUAAUCUGUGCUCAGUUUGUACUUUCACCCCCUGCCAUUGUUUGGUCUCUCAACUUAACAUGUCC